UACAUUAAUUUUCAAUGAUUCUAAUUUCAAUAGGUCCUUGGUCAAUUGACCGGCGGAGACGGGCGUUGCGAGGCAUCCAGUGAGGUAACGCGACCGAUCCCGGAGAAGCUGGCGGGAGCCCCGGGGAGAGUUCUCUUUUCUUUGUGAGGGGCAGGGUGCCCUGGAAUGGGUCGGCCCCGAGAGAGGGGCCCAAGACCUGGAAUGCAGUUUCGGGGGCGUCCGGUGAGCUUUCCCUGGCCCUUGAAAAUCCGGAGGAGAGGGUGUAAAUCUCACGCCGGGCCGUACCCAUGUCUUCAGCAGGUCUCCAAGGUGAACAGCCUCU
Molecule: non-coding RNA, 322 nt
Filed under: Salmo salar (Atlantic salmon)
Lineage: Eukaryota; Metazoa; Chordata; Actinopteri; Salmoniformes; Salmonidae
Description: Eukaryotic large subunit ribosomal RNA
Rfam family: Eukaryotic large subunit ribosomal RNA
Source: Rfam by way of RNAcentral